UGAUCUGUAGCUCAAUUGGCAGAGCGCGCGACUGUUAAUCGCGUGGUUGAAGGUUCGAUUCCUUCCAGGUCAGC
This 74-nucleotide transfer RNA is filed under the name Mycobacteroides abscessus subsp. abscessus. RNAcentral's name for it is "tRNA-Asn(gtt)". It matches the Rfam family "tRNA". Rfam says of the family: Transfer RNA (tRNA) molecules are approximately 80 nucleotides in length. The record is from RNAcentral. RNAcentral also lists the same sequence under 1 other name. Lineage: Bacteria; Bacillati; Actinomycetota; Actinomycetes; Mycobacteriales; Mycobacteriaceae.